GAAUAUUGGACAAUGGGGGCAACCCUGAUCCAGCAAUGCCGCGUGUGUGAAGAAGGCCUGCGGGUUGUAAAGCACUUUCAGUAGAGACGAAAACCUGAAGGUUAAUACCCUUCAGCUUGACUUAACCUACAGAAGAAGCACCGGCUAACUCCGUGCCAGCAGCCGCGGUAAUACGGAGGGUGCGAGCGUUAAUCGGAAUUACUGGGCGUAAAGGGCGCGUAGGUGGUUUGGUAAGUCAGAUGUGAAAUCCCUGGGCUUAACCUGGGAAUUGCAUUUGAUACUGUCAGACUAGAGUGUGGUAGAGGUAAGCGGAAUUCCCGGUGUAGCGGUGAAAUGCGUAGAUAUCGGAAAGAACAUCAGUGGCGAAGGCGGCUUACUGGAUCAACACUGACACUGAGGCGCGAAAGCGUGGGUAGCAAACAGG
This 424-nucleotide ribosomal RNA is filed under the name uncultured bacterium. RNAcentral's name for it is "bacterial SSU rRNA". It matches the Rfam family "Bacterial small subunit ribosomal RNA", at positions 359 to 776 of the family's 1533-position model. The record is from RNAcentral.